RNAcentral lists this ribosomal RNA (452 nucleotides) under bacterium A4M_VP5_A11. RNAcentral describes it as "bacterial SSU rRNA". It matches the Rfam family "Bacterial small subunit ribosomal RNA", at positions 337 to 781 of the family's 1533-position model. The record is from RNAcentral.
UAAUACGGGAGGCAGCAGUGGGGAAUAUUGCACAAUGGGCGCAAGCCUGAUGCAGCCAUGCCGCGUGUAUGAAGAAGGCCUUCGGGUUGUAAAGUACUUUCAGCAGUGAGGAAGGGGUGUCCGUUAAUAGCGUGCAUCUUUGACGUUAGCUGCAGAAGAAGCACCGGCUAACUCCGUGCCAGCAGCCGCGGUAAUACGGAGGGUGCGAGCGUUAAUCGGAAUUACUGGGCGUAAAGCGCAUGCAGGUGGUUUGUUAAGUCAGAUGUGAAAGCCCGGGGCUCAACCUCGGAAUAGCAUUUGAAACUGGCAGACUAGAGUACUGUAGAGGGGGGUAGAAUUUCAGGUGUAGCGGUGAAAUGCGUAGAGAUCUGAAGGAAUACCGGUGGCGAAGGCGGCCCCCUGGACAGAUACUGACACUCAAAUGCCAAAGCGUGGGGAGCAAACAGGAUUAG